UAGGUUAAGCGCUGCAGGUAACGGUCACUAGGUUAAGAGGUGAGGUAACGGUCACUAGGUUAAGCGCUGCAGGUAACGGUCACUAGGUUAAGCACUGCAGGUAACGGUCACUAGGUUAAGCGCUGCAGGUAACGGUCACUAGGUUAAGAGGUGAGGUAAUGGCCACUAGGUUAAGCACUGCAGGUAACGAUCACUAGGUUAAGAGGUGAGGUAACAGUCACUAGGUUAAGAGGUGAGGUAACGGUCACUAGGUUAAGAGGUGAGGUAACGGUCACUAGGUUAAGCGCCACAGGUAACAGUGACUAGGUGAAUAUCUAAGGUAACGGUCACUAGGUUAAGAGGUGAGGUAAUGAUCACUAGGUUAAGCACUGUAACUAACGGUCACUAGGUUAAGCGCUGCAGGUAACGGUCACUAGGUUAAGCGCUGCAGGUAACGGCCACUAGGUUAAGCGCUGCAGGCAAC
Sinocyclocheilus rhinocerous is the source of this 463-nucleotide long non-coding RNA. RefSeq lists it as uncharacterized. Lineage: Eukaryota; Metazoa; Chordata; Actinopteri; Cypriniformes; Cyprinidae. The record is from RefSeq and is a predicted model, not a curated record. The transcript has 4 exons.